GAUGAACGCUGGCGGCGUGCCUAACACAUGCAAGUCGAGCGGACAGAUGCGGAGCUUGCUCCUCUGACGUUAGCCGCGGACGGGAGAGUAACACGUGUAUAACCUACCUAUAAGUCUGGGAUCACUUCGGGAAACCGGAGCUAAUACCAUAUGAGAUAUUGAACCGCAUGGUUCAAUAGUGAAAGACGGCUUUGCUGUCACUAAUAGCUGGAUCCGCGCCGCAUUAGUUAGUUGGUAAGGUAACGGCCUACCAAGGCGACGAUGCGUAGCCGACCUGAGAGGGUGAUCGGCCACACUGGAAGUGAGACACGGACCAGACGCCUACGGGAGGCAGCAGUAGGGAAUCUUAGGCAAUGGGCGAAAGCCUGACGAAGCAACGCCGCGUGAGUGAUGAAGGUCUUCGGAUCGUAAAACCCUGUUAUUAGGGAAGAACAGAUGUGGAAUUAAAUAUGGAGGUCUUGACGGUACCGAAUCAGAAAGCAACGGCUAACUACGUG
Molecule: ribosomal RNA, 497 nt
Filed under: uncultured bacterium
Lineage: Bacteria
Description: partial 16S ribosomal RNA
Rfam family: Bacterial small subunit ribosomal RNA
Source: RNAcentral